GCGUAAGGGUAAGGUAGGAGGUUUGUGUUCGGUUGUCUUGGAAGGAAGGCAGAUAGGUCUAGAGCGGCUGCGGCUGCGGCCGGCGGAGGAGGAGGUGGAGGGGGCGUGGCAGGGAGGCCGCCGCCGCCUCGGGGCGCGCGGCCGAGCCGGUGCUACGUCGGCCACGGCCCGCGGCGUGGGUGGAGGAGGAGGAGCAAGCCGCUGCGGGCCGAGUUCGGGGGAAGGGGAGGGGGGGCGGGAACCGUGAGGGUGGAGAGGAUUGAGGGAGGGGAGCAGAGGGGAGGAGAUGCACGGCGGAGUGGGUCGAUUGGGGGAGAGGGAGUGAGCGGGGACGGAGCGGCGGGGAAGGCGCCGUAAAGAGCUGGUGGUAGACGCGUAGGCAACUAGCCGCUGACUGGGGUGGGUCGAGUCGAGUCGUGGAGUCACUGUUCGCUGAGGUACCCACUAAACCGAACACUAAGACUUUCUCACGACUACCUCCGAGUGCCACGGAGAAGAGAGACGUUCCUACUGUACCAAGACGACCUCCUCCGUGAAGGAGGUCGUCCCGUCUGAGGUCCAAGAACACACCUUGAGGCAGUAUUGGUCCUCCCUUGAGUAUUUGUUCGUUCCCUACGACCAAGAAACCUGUUACUUCAACUAUAGAGUCCAAGAGGGUCGAGUCCUUAUUUCUCUCCGUUUCCUCCACUACCCUUGAGGGCACGUUAGAGGCUAGUGUCACUUGGUUUGCGGAGAAGUUGAAUACUCGCGAACGGCAGGAAAGGCAGCUGCAGUUCCGAAGAGCAGAGACGAUACUUUCCUCCGGCGCUCUCUUCGCCGCCACUUCGUAGCGGUUGACCUCGGACGGCGCACUUCACCCGGGGUCUACAUAUGCUGGGGGGCCAGUGGAGACAGCUGGUGUGCCACUUCCCGGUGGUUGUCGCGAGGUCCAGGUCCUUCUUCCUGUUCCCGUUCGUCUUUGUCUUCGUCUUCUUCUCCUUCAGCACGCCCUUGCCGUUCUUCUCGCCACCGGAGGUACUACGGCGGGUGUUGGGCGGACGAGAGCUGCACGGGCCCGGUAGAAGGGGGCUGCUUGAUCCGAAUCCGCUUCACUUCCUCCGACUCCACGACCUGAUGUCGCGGAAGCUGCCAGUUCUCGGGUUCACGCCUCCGCCGAAGAGUGUGCUCUAGCGGCGCCGCGCCUGCACAAAGGGGCGGCGGCUCCGCAGUACUCGCGGCUGCCACCGGGCCCUGGGGCCUGGGGCCUCCUCCACAUCUAUCUAUGCCAACCACAUGUAUUUAUUCUCUUUAGGUCCGACACACUCUACUCUACUCUACGGGAAAGAUAUAUUCGAAAACCGACACCGUAGGAAAUAACCAUUCAUCACAUCACACGAUGUGCAACACACGACGACAAAGCAAACAUCGGUGCCUGACUACUCUAGACUUUUAUUAACUUAGGAGAAAACUCCCUCUACGGCUCAGGAACACGAUUAGAAUAGAACCGUAGGUAACGAGUGACCAGUCACUAGUCGUCCUCGUCGUCGUAGUCGACGAGCUGUGACGACCAUAGUCCAGUGUAGUCAGUAGUCACCGUCUGACAACUCGAUCGAUCGAUCGACCAAUGAAUUUCACCGUUCCGACCACACGUGCUACUCUCCUCCUUGUUUCGAGUUUAGGUGGUCUCGUCUCGUAACUAGGGAGGGAGUGCCGGUACCGGCGGCGGUGGCUCGUCGAGGAGGAGGGGGUCCUCGUCGGGGCGGCGGCGGCUGGCCAUACCCCCGAACGGCAGCGACGGGAUGACGACCACGACGACGAGCGGCGGCGGCCGGGAGAGGCAGGAUCCGACAAGGCGUGCGGCGGCGGUCGUCUCGCGCAGCGCGAGUGGGAGGAGAGGCCGCGCUUCCUCUUCCCGCGUCACACGCACCUGCCUUGUGGCGGGCCAAUGGUGGACGUCUCCCCGAGGCCGCUGCCGCGGCUGGCAACCGAGCAGGUAGAUCUCCAUACAUGGUAUGGUAGGUAGUUAAUACGGUAUUGUAACGAGACAAAAAGACAAGGGAAAAGUACUCAAUCCGUUAGUUUAAUCGGCGGUGGUUUUUAUAUAUAACGUUGUUUUAAAGUAUUAGUUUUAGACGAAACUGUAUCUCUCUCUGGGCC
This 2136-nucleotide ribosomal RNA is filed under the name Triticum aestivum (bread wheat). RNAcentral's name for it is "partial small subunit ribosomal RNA". Lineage: Eukaryota; Viridiplantae; Streptophyta; Magnoliopsida; Poales; Poaceae. The record is from RNAcentral.